AUACGGAGGGUGCAAGCGUUACUCGGAAUCACUGGGCGUAAAGCGCGCGCAGGCGGCUAUUUAAGUUGGAUGUGAAAACCUACGGCUCAACCGUAGAACUGCAUCCAAAACUGUCGGGCUAGAGUCUGGGAGGGGAAGAUGGAAUUAGUUGUGUAGGGGUAAAAUCCGUAGAGAUAACUAGGAAUACCAAAAGCGAAGGCGAUCUUCUGGAACAGUACUGACGCUGAGGCGCGAAAGCGUGGGUAGCAAACGGGAUUAGAAACCCUAGUAGUCC
RNAcentral lists this ribosomal RNA (274 nucleotides) under uncultured bacterium. RNAcentral describes it as "partial 16S ribosomal RNA". It matches the Rfam family "Bacterial small subunit ribosomal RNA", at positions 523 to 796 of the family's 1533-position model. The record is from RNAcentral.